RNAcentral lists this ribosomal RNA (2095 nucleotides) under Glossina austeni. RNAcentral's name for it is "eukaryotic LSU rRNA". It matches the Rfam family "Eukaryotic large subunit ribosomal RNA", at positions 98 to 1888 of the family's 3401-position model. Lineage: Eukaryota; Metazoa; Arthropoda; Insecta; Diptera; Glossinidae. The record is from RNAcentral.
AAGAAAAUAGUUCAGCACUAAGUCACUUUGUCUUUAAUGGCAAAUGUGAGAUGCAGUGUAUGGAAUGUUCAAUUCUAGUAUGAGAAAUUAGCGAUUUAAGUCCUUCUUAAAUGAGGCCAUUUACCCAAAGAGGGUGCUAGGCCCGUAUAACGUUAAUGAUUACUAGAGAACAAUUCCAAAGAGUCGUGUUGCUUGAUAGUGCAGCACUAAGUGGGUGGUAAACUCCAUCUAAAACUAAAUAUAACCAUGAGACCGAUAGUAAACAAGUACCGUGAGGGAAAGUUGAAAAGAACUCUGAAUAGAGAGUUAAAUAGUACGUGAAACUGCUUAGAGGUUAAGCCCGAUGAACCCGAAUAUCCAUUAUGGAAAAUUCAUCAUUAUGAAUUAUGAUAUUUAAUAAAUAUUAUAUUAAUGGUGUGCAUUUUUUCCAUAUAAGGACAUUGUAAUCUAUUAACAUUAAAAUUUAUCAUAAAAUCAUUGGCUUUAAAGUUUAUUCAAAUUAUUAUGCUUGCAUUUUAACACAGAAUAAAUGCUUUUGAUUUGAUAAAUUGUUGAUAGAUUUAUAUUUAUAUAGUGCUUAAAUAUAUUUAUAUAUUUUAUAAUAGCAUAUAAAUCAAUAAUUUUUAUGUUUAUUAUAUGCACUUAUAUGAUUUACAAUGCGAAAGAUUCGGGAUACCUUCGGGACCCGUCUUGAACACGACCCAAGGAGUCUAACAUAUUUGCAAGUUAUUUGGGUUCUUUAAAAACCUAAUAGCGAAAUUAACAUGACAAAAUUAAUAUGGGAUUAGUUAUUAGUUCUAAUAUACUUAGACUAUUAAUUCAAUCCCGGGGCGUUCUAUACAGUUAUGUAUAAUAAUAUUUAUAUUAUUUAUACCUCUAACUAGAACGUACCUUGAGCAUAUAUGCUGUAACCCGAAAGAUGGUGAACUAUACUUGAUCAGGUUGAAGUCAGGGGAAACCCUGAUGGAAGACCGAAACAGUUCUGACGUGCAAAUCGAUUGUCAGAAUUGAGUAUAGGGGCGAAAGACCAAUCGAACCAUCUAGUAGCUGGUUCCCUCCGAAGUUUCCCUCAGGAUAGCUGGUGCAUUUAAAAUUUAUGUAAAAUAAUCUUAUCUGGUAAAGCGAAUGAUUAGAGGCCUUAGGGUCGAAACGAUCUUAACCUAUUCUCAAACUUUAAAUGGGUAAGAACCUCACCUUUCUUGGUAUGAAGGUUGUGGUUGUGAUAUAAUGUGCCCAGUGGGCCACUUUUGGUAAGCAGAACUGGCGCUGUGGGAUGAACCAAACGUAAUGUUACGGUGCCCAAAUUAACAACUCAUGCAGAUACCAUGAAAGGCGUUGGUUGCUUAAAACAGCAGGACGGUGGACAUGGAAGUCGCAAUCCGCUAAGGAGUGUGUAACAACUCACCUGCCGAAGCAACCUAGCCCUUAAAAUGGAUGGCGCUUAAGUUGUAUACCUAUACAUUACCGCUAAAGUAAUGGGUUGAAAUUCAAUUUAUUUGGAUUUGUAACCUUUAAACCUUUAGUGAGUAGGAGGGUACAAUGUGAGCGUAGAAGUGUUUGGCGUAAGCCUGCAUGGAGCCGCCAUUGGUACAGAUCUUGGUGGUAGUAGCAAAUAAUCGAAUGAGACCUUGGAGGACUGAAGUGGAGAAGGGUUUCGUGUGAACAGUGGUUGAUCACGAGUUAGUCGGUCCUAAGUUCAAGGCGAAAGCUGAAAAUUUUCAAGUUAUAUAUUAAAUAAAAAAUGUAUAAAACACUUGAAAAUAAUUGAACGAAAGGGAAUACGGUUCCAAUUCCGUAACCUGUUGAGUAUCCGUUUGUUUAUUAAAUGUGGGCCUUGUGCUCAUCCUGGCAACAGGAACGACCAUAAAGAAGCCGUCGAGAGAUAUCGGAAGAGUUUUCUUUUCUGUUUUAUAGUCGUACUACCAUGGAAGUCUUUCGAAGAGAGAUAUGGUAGAUGGGCUAGAAGAGCAUGACAUUUACUGUUGUGUCGAUAUUUUCUCCUCGGACCUUGAAAAUUUAUGGUGGGGUCACGCAAACUUCUCAACAGGCCGUACCAAUAUCCGCAGCUGGUCUCCAAGGUGAAGAGUCUCUAGUC